UCACAAGAUUUUCCCGGAUGUCCAGUUUUCUACUAUUAAGUUAGCCAAGUAUCAUAAGGUUUUUUCAAUCCACUAGCGCCAAACUGCCUUGUAUUACCAUUCGUGUAUUUUACAACUGAAAGUAGUAAAACGAACUCUGUAAACAUAAUGUACCGUAUGUAUACCGUAAUAUGUAUUGCGAUUUACUAGUUUUAUCGUCUCUUUGCGGCUAUGACAGUGGAUGGACGGAGUCGUAAAACGGACCUUUAACUGUACCUUUGUCCAUCUUUUUCGUCAUGAAUUUUCUGCCGGCGCCGUUCUGUCGUCUGUAGUCCCACACAGAGUUAGCUAAAUGACGUUCUUUGUUGCUGCAAAAGACACUGACUGACGGACUGGGUCACGUAAACGCGCGGGUCUCCGCUCGUGCUACCGCUGUGUCUAUGAGCGAUGGUUGCUGUCGCCUUUCGUUCGCUCGCAGUGUUCAUUGAACCGAAGUGCACAAAGUUUCCUCAGUCCACAGCGAUCCGGCCCGAUCGAUUGCCUUCAGUCGGGCUCGCCCGUUGACUUUUUUCUCUUCUGAAGUUGUUUGUUCCUGGUGUUCGUUCAUCAGUCUGCUGCCUCCUGCAAAUGCCUUCUCGUCUUCUUGUACGACGCCCACUCAUAUGAAUCGCUGUGGCUUCUGUACAUUAGAUUGGCUACUCCCACUGCUAGUUAUUGUGUGUACAUGCAAGCUGUGUACACAUUGCGUACGCAUAAUGUCAAUGCGCGGACGAGGCUACAACUGCAACAAUAUCUACUGUUAUUCAAGCCUAUUCGCUGGCCAUGAAACGAAAAAAAAAAAAUGAGGACACCAUUUUGAAGAACGAGAGCUAACAUCAGCUUCUUCACUAGGGCUACUCGUUAGUCAGUCGCACUCAGAUGUUAAAGAAUGGUAGAGCAGUUGUCUGACAUUCUAAUAAGAACGACAAAACCUCCACGCAUGCGAACAAAUUCUACGAAACGCAAAAGAUAAAGCUUUAUCUUUUUGCGCUCACCACAAGAUUGAUUGCAUUGAAAUUUUGCUAGGAAGCCUGCCUUCGCCUCCUCUUUUCAAAUAAACAAGAAGAAGUGAUGAAUUUCGCAUCGAUGGUCCCGCUAAAAAUUAAAGUUUCUAUUAUGGUUCAACAAUUAUGCACCUACGAACCUUGUGAAGUGUACAGAUAACAAAUUAUUUUACUUUUAUUUUAUCGCGUACGUUGUGUAGUUCACAGAGUUUCGACCAGCAAUUCUUGUCCUUGUUAACCGAGGGUUUAUUUGUCCAAGCCACUGCACCGAUGAAACUAUGUUCAGAUACUCGGAGUACACAAGGUACUCGUGUUGGGGAACUAAUCCCCUGAUGUAAUCUCUAACGAUGGUUUUAAAGUAUUUAGGCUGGUUCUGAAACGGAAACCCCACAGUAGCACUGUACAAUAGUGCGCUUUUUCAAAGCGCAUUAAUGAAAAUAAUUAUGUCAGAGUAACCCGGUGGGCGUAGGUUUACACCGAAGUAUCCUGUUUGGCCUUUUCAGCUCGCAUCUUAUUGAACGCUAAAGUUGCCUACUUUUCUUAUGUAUCUAUUCCUGAUGUUCUGAAAAUGGUCAAAUUGGCCGACGGCAACUUGAUACCUAUAGCAAUGUUAAGCAGGCUUAUCUAAAAUUUAUGAAAUUAGCCCUUACCUAGUUAAUGUCUUUCAACUUGUCUAGCUAAUGAUCCCAGACGACUGUAUUGCUUUGCAAAAACCACAAGCGACCUAUACGCUCUUUGUUCCUCUUGUAGCAUUCCACCAUUCCAAAGCGACUCUCAUAUAUCUUAACUUCAAUGAAGAGCAUGUGAGAAAAGAUCGAAGGCUUUAUUGAAUACAAAAAGUAUCGUACAUUGUUCGUCGAUGCUCUUUCUAGUAAAAUACGAUAGACUGCUGUUUAUGUACUGUAUGUAUUGUAUGUUAUACAAUCCGUAGCUGACUUCACACUGUGGAUUUAUUGACGAACAGAUUCGUAAGGCUGUCGGAGCCUUACCUUCAUUUUGGUAAUUACGCUGAAAAACGCACCUGCCAGAGAGAAUUACCCGAGCAAGUUAGAAUUAGUUCGUAGUAUUUGACCGGUGUUGUCAGGAUAUACGAGCUACCGGCGAUGGGUGCUUACGACGCAACUUCUGCAGACCAAAUAGACGAUAGAUACAUCAACAAAGGUCCGGCAAUAACCAAGCUUAUGAACAAAAACGCUGUUGAAGUGGAACCAGCAGCUGAAUCUGCCAUGACGUCAUGGAUAAUUCUCCUGUUCUCAACUGAUAUGUUAGUGGCGCUAUGCUCGUGCAUAGUUGUGUUCACGCUUGUAUUGGCUGUCUUCCUACGAAACAGAGAACGAGUGCGCCGUUACGUGACCGGUGAGAACCGGCGAGUAGGCAGUGUCUAUUACGUGCGACCGGGAAUUGCUCCAACUCAACCGACGGAGAUUUGAUAGGAAAACCGAAAACGAACAGCAAGCACGUUAACAGCCUCAAUCAGCGAUGACUCGGUCAGCAAUGAGAACUCCAAUAGCACCAACCAUAAUCGUAGGUGAAAUCGUUAAGAAGAAAUAUAAUCAUAUCGUAUAAAUGGGACGCCAAGACUGCGAGCGAUGUAUCGAACGAACGUGAGCAGUCAUCGGAAGCCUUCGUCCAGUAACAAACUGAAUACGGCGUAUGUAUCAGCGUGGAGCGCGUACAACGAUUUUCAACGGCAAAAAACCCUCAAUCACUAAUGGGCUCAUAUUAAAUUACUCAUCUGAAUGUGACUCUUUAAACUGUCGGCGGUCCUUUUAGAUGUAUGGCUUUAUCCAAAACUAGCUCAAUAAUUACCUAACUAAAAUUUUACGAAAGCGAGCAUUCAGAACAUAUCAACAAACAAGCUCGGGUAUAAUUUAGGUUGGCCAUUUUAGUCUUGGGGCAAACUAUUGGCUUAUGCAGAUUGUUUUGAAUUAUUAAAUGAUUUAGACGCCUGUUGAUAUAUUGCCUUUAAAGAUAUCGGGUUUUAAGAAGACGAAUGACUUUUCCGUGAAAUCGAAUUCAGUUGGUUAAAAGCGUAUCGAUCAUUUUUGGAAGCUUUUUCACAGGUCAAACUCAUCUGUAUACAUACAAUUAGAUUUAGCCUUAUGAUUGGGUGUACGUUUCGAAGUUCUUAUAGUGUUGUUCGGUAGGUGUUUCUUGAAGAAGAAGCAGCUACACGAAAAAUCACGGUGAAAACAUUCCAGUGAACGAAAAUCUACGAUUUUCCUUACCUUAUUACUGUACUGAUGUACCAUAUUGCUGGAAGCGGUAUUUUUGUAAAUCUCGAGUAAUUAAUUAGCGCAACAAUUUUUUUCCGUAGAAGGCGGGAUGGAGUCUCUUUUUUUCAUGCAUAGGAACGACACCCCUUUAUCGUGCUUCGGCAACGUAGCUUUUGAGCGUAUGAAAGAAUAAAUUAUUGCACACGUUUAUUAACCUAUAUUUUGAACAUAAGCGAUUAUCACAUUGUAGGCGCAAGGCGCAUUUCUAUUCACGAUUUAUUUUUACUUCAGCAGAAUUUUUUCCCGAACAGGACCAGAGAUGAGUAAUGUAAUAUCUAUUUAGUAGAGAUUUAGAUUUGUGAGCAAUCACAAUUUUGCUGUACUGCUCGGAUCGAAUCUUAUUUAAGCUGCUACUACCCAUUGCUGAGUGCGUGUGAUUAGAUCCAACAAACGUAGCCGUUGAAAUGAUCGAAAGUUCUAAUCUAUAGAACAAUACAUUUUCUAUUUAGCCACAUGUAAAUAGAAUAGCUGGUUCUCGAAAUAACGAAAGAUGUAUCUCGAAAUGUUGCCUUAAUGUGGCUUUACUAGACCCGUAGUAGCUUUAAUAGACUUUAAUUUCAGUUUUUAUAAAUCACUAUUACGUAACUGGAACAUACGUGUCAUAUUGUUUAAUACCAUUACCUACACCAUCUUGAGGAAUCAGCUUCAGUUAAUUCAGGUAAUAUAGUAACGUUAUUCCACACAACAAGGAUUCUAAAAAUGUUUCUAUAGAAGCUCAAUUGCGUUUCGUUGUACAUGUAUGCUUGUUUGUACUUCAUACUCUUAAACUGUCUUAACUAGUAGGGGCACUACUAAUGGAAAAAUGUAGUACUUUAAAAGAAAGUAUCCAAAUCCCGUAAUGAUAUUAUGGCCAAAAAUGUUCUUAUUGUCCCACCGAGAAGGAGAAUAAUAUUUAAAUCGUUCACUACUUUUUUUUUCUCGAGAACUACCUCAUAUUUAAAAAUGUCGAUAUCUGAUGAAAAUAAUAUGGUAACGUGAAGAGUAAACUACCUGAAAAACAUGUUUACCCGAGGUGAUUAAUUGCGAAAGAACUAUUCGGUCUAGACAACUAUCGCAGCUAAAGGAAGUACGCAAACCUAACCGUUAGGUUAGGUUUGCGCACUUCCUGUAGAUGCAACUGUACUCAAUGACAAAUAUGUACUAUUAGUAAACGUAGACAUUAUAUAUAUAUGCCUUGUGUUAUCGGUAACCACCAGAGUCUUAUGUGCGCACAUGGUUGUUCUUAUGCGUCAAGAUCAGUACCGCGCGUAGUGAUGCUAGGCAUUGGCUAGCUAGAACGUCAAUUUCACGCUAAGCGGUAUCGGUCAGUUCAGUCAGUACUUCUGAUGCUCCAUAUUACUGUGGCCCGAGGAAGACGUCAUCCAUCGCUUUUGUUCGCCGGUUUCAUUUGAUAAUAUAAUCACUACAUUAAACUUUUCCGUAAAAUAAAGUCACGUUGUAGAGGUAGUA
Molecule: long non-coding RNA, 4747 nt
Organism: Varroa destructor (honeybee mite)
Lineage: Eukaryota; Metazoa; Arthropoda; Arachnida; Mesostigmata; Varroidae
Source: RefSeq, a predicted model, not a curated record